This is a non-coding RNA of Aedes aegypti (yellow fever mosquito), 119 nucleotides long. The record is from Rfam. Lineage: Eukaryota; Metazoa; Arthropoda; Insecta; Diptera; Culicidae.
UGCCCAGCAACUCCUAUCCCUAUCUCCUCGCGGUACUGGCCGGGGUACGAGUAACCUUAGGGAAGAUCGGGUAACCAACUCCCGGUGGGAACUUUGGCCGUAUGCUGACAGGGAAUUGG